RNAcentral lists this ribosomal RNA (255 nucleotides) under uncultured bacterium. RNAcentral's name for it is "partial 16S ribosomal RNA". It matches the Rfam family "Bacterial small subunit ribosomal RNA", at positions 521 to 776 of the family's 1533-position model. The record is from RNAcentral.
UAAUACGUAGGUGGCGAGCGUUGUCCGGAAUUAUUGGGCGUAAAGAGCAUGUAGGCGGCUUAAUAAGUCGAGCGUGAAAAUGCGGGGCUCAACCCCGUAUGGCGCUGGAAACUGUUAGGCUUGAGUGCAGGAGAGGAAAGGGGAAUUCCCAGUGUAGCGGUGAAAUGCGUAGAUAUUGGGAGGAACACCAGUGGCGAAGGCGCCUUUCUGGACUGUGUCUGACGCUGAGAUGCGAAAGCCAGGGUAGCGAACGGG